RNAcentral lists this ribosomal RNA (450 nucleotides) under uncultured bacterium. Its description in RNAcentral is "bacterial SSU rRNA". It matches the Rfam family "Bacterial small subunit ribosomal RNA", at positions 354 to 796 of the family's 1533-position model. The record is from RNAcentral.
GCUAAGAAUAUUCCGCAAUGGACGAAAGUCUGACGGAGCGACGCCGCGUGGAUGAAGAAGGCCGAAAGGUUGUAAAAUCCUUUUGUCGGGGAAGAAUAAGCGUGGGAGGGAAUGCCCGCGUGAUGACAUGAACCGGCGAAUAAGCCCCGGCUAACUACGUGCCAGCAGCCGCGGUAACACGUAGGGGGCAAGCGUUGUUCGGAAUUACUGGGCGUAAAGGGCAUGUAGGCGGUUUUGUAAGCCUGGCGUGAAAUUCUGCAGCUUAACUGUAGGACUGCGCUGGGAACUGCGAGACUGGAGUCACGGAGAGGGAGCCAGAAUUCCAGGUGUAGGGGUGAAAUCUGUAGAUAUCUGGAAGAAUACCAAUGGCGAAGGCAGGCUUCUGGCCGAUGACUGACGCUGAGGUGCGAAAGCGUGGGUAGCAAACAGGAUUAGAAACCCUGGUAGUCC